UGGGGAAUAUUGCACAAUGGGCGCAAGCCUGAUGCAGCCAUGCCGCGUGUAUGAAGAAGGCCUUCGGGUUGUAAAGUACUUUCAGCGGGGAGGAAGGUGUUGAGGCUAAUAACCUCAGCAAUUGACGUUACCCGCAGAAGAAGCACCGGCUAACUCCGUGCCAGCAGCCGCGGUAAUACGGAGGGUGCAAGCGUUAAUCGGAAUUACUGGGCGUAAAGCGCACGCAGGCGGUCUGUCAAGUCGGAUGUGAAAUCCCCGGGCUCAACCUGGGAACUGCAUUCGAAACUGGCAGGCCAGAGUCUUGUAGAGGGGGGUAGAAUUCCAGGUGUAGCGGUGAAAUGCGUAGAGAUCUGGAGGAAUACCGGUGGCGAAGGCGGCCCCCUGGACAAAGACUGACGCUCAGGUGCGAAAGCGUGGGGAGCAAACA
This 427-nucleotide ribosomal RNA is filed under the name uncultured bacterium. RNAcentral describes it as "partial 16S ribosomal RNA". It matches the Rfam family "Bacterial small subunit ribosomal RNA", at positions 355 to 774 of the family's 1533-position model. The record is from RNAcentral.